RNAcentral lists this ribosomal RNA (468 nucleotides) under uncultured bacterium. RNAcentral describes it as "partial 16S ribosomal RNA". It matches the Rfam family "Bacterial small subunit ribosomal RNA", at positions 28 to 507 of the family's 1533-position model. The record is from RNAcentral.
GACGAACGCUGGCGGCGUGCUUAACACAUGCAAGUCGAACGGAAAGGCCCUGCUUUUGUGGGUUUCUCGAGUGGCGAACGGGUGAGUAACACGUGAGUAACCUGCCCUUGACUUUGGGGUAACUUCAGGAAACUGGGGCUAAUACCGGAUAGAAGCUCCUGCUGCAUGGUGGUGGUUGGAAAGAUUCGGCGGUUGGGGAUGGACUCGCGGCUUAUGCGCUGGAUGGUGGGGUAGGGGCUUACCAAGGCUUUGACGGGUAGCCGGCCUGGGAGCGUGACCGGCCACAUUGGGACUGCGAUACGGCCCAGACGGCUACGGGACGCAGUGGUGGGGAACAUUGCGGAACGGGCGGAAGCCUGAUGCAGCAAUGCCGCGUGCGGGAUGCCGGCUUUCUGGGUGAAAACCGCUUUCGCAGUUGACGAAGCGGGAGUGACGGUAAUGGGUAAGGAAGCACCGGCUAACUACGUG